Non-coding RNA from Paramuricea clavata, 1076 nucleotides. NCBI's taxonomy places the organism in Eukaryota, Metazoa, Cnidaria, Anthozoa, Malacalcyonacea, Plexauridae. The record is from the annotation of a GenBank genome assembly.
CCGCCCUUUAACACUGUGUCCGGUUAAACUAUUGCUUCUCUCAUAAAUUUAACAACACGCUCUCACUGAAAACGACGGCGUCCCAGACUCAUAUUUUGAGCAUGAUCCAUCUGAUUCUACUGUCCAUUAACUCAAGCGGUGGUUAAAAUGUAGAGGCUUAUAGCGAAGUGGUAAACGCCAAGACCAAGUUCUUCUUCAACGAGUUAGUGAUUGCAUUUAAUAGUUGUUCGGGAAAGCAUCGUUCGCCGGAUGUAUUGAAGGGGAAAAUGGUUAGCUGCGAAAGUUCUUGGAGAAAAACCAGCACAGUCCGCAGUCAAAAACAAUCAACGCAUUGCUACUGCAGACAUUCCCGUCCCGUCCGACUUUUCAAUUCCCUGGGACGGUUUUGGAAAAGGUAUAUGAACACCUUAUUAAAGCUCUCAUUUCUUGAAGCGAUUUCGGCAGUUUUUUUGAGUAUCUCGAAUCAAUUGGACAUGUUCCCCAGCAACAGUGCUUAGCAUUAACCAUGUUUGUAAUUUGGGAUAAAUUUGAAUUCGUUUUAGCACAGAUAAAAUAAAUAAAAACGUCAAUUUAGACCAACUUAUCUUCAUUUGGAGAAUCUAUUUUUAGCUACUGUGGACAGCGCUAUUGAGUUCAAAUUUACAAAAAUAAUUUUGGUCGUAAGAAUUAUUGAGCUACCCAAGCCAUUACAUAAUGGGUCUGUUUCAGGAAUUUACAUUUUGCUGAUUCAAACUAUUUCCUGACCUAUCGACUGAUGACCUAUGAUAUGUUUCCUUUACAAAUAACAAAAGUAUAGCGGAAACUCCACAAGAACAAAUCCCAGCAGUUAUUCCCUCAGCUACCGGGUAAGUGAUCUCUACACCAAGUUCAAAGAAUAAUGGAAUAGUGCCAUUUAGAAAGAAACCACUCAGUCCAAACAGGAUGUAGACAACGAUCUUGUUAAAUGAGAUAACUCCAGUGAAAACAUAGCAGAUUGAUAAAGUCGUGUAAAAUGACAGCGCCAUAAACACAAUGAGAAAUAAUUUGUGGUGGCCCGAAAAACGAUCUGCAAACCUAAAGGAAAGAAAUUGAUAACA